RNAcentral lists this ribosomal RNA (253 nucleotides) under uncultured bacterium. RNAcentral's name for it is "partial 16S ribosomal RNA". It matches the Rfam family "Bacterial small subunit ribosomal RNA", at positions 524 to 776 of the family's 1533-position model. The record is from RNAcentral.
UACGUAGGGGGCAAGCGUUGCUCGGAAUCACUGGGCGUAAAGGGCGCGUAGGCGGGAUGGCAAGUCAGUCGUGAAAUCUCUCGGCUCAACCGAGAAACGUCGGCUGAUACUGCCGUUCUUGAGGGAUGCAGAGGAGACUGGAAUUCCCGGUGUAGCGGUGAAAUGUGUAGAGAUCGGGAGGAACACCGGUGGCGAAGGCGGGUCUCUGGGCAUCUCCUGACGCUGAGGCGCGAAAGCGUGGGGAGCAAACGGG